UUAAUGUGCGAAAGCGCGAACCAGCAACGCCGCGUGUGCGAUGAAGGCCUUCGGGUCGUAAAGCACUUUUUGCAGGGACGAGGAAGGACGGUACCUGCAGAAUAAGUCUCGGCUAACUACGUGCCAGCAGCCGCGGUAAAACGUAGGAGACGAGCGUUCUCCGGAUUUACUGGGCGUAAAGCGCGUGCAGGCGGAUUGGCAAGUUGGAUGUGAAAGCUUCCCGGCUUAACUGGGAUAGGUCGUUCAAUACUGCAAGGCUUGAUAGUGGUAGAGGGAAGCAGAAUGCCUGGUGUAGUGGUGAACUGCGAAAAUAUCCGGAGGAACACCAGUGGCGACGGCGGCUUCCUGGCCCAUUUCUGACGCUCAGACGCGAAAGC
This 377-nucleotide ribosomal RNA is filed under the name uncultured bacterium. Its description in RNAcentral is "bacterial SSU rRNA". It matches the Rfam family "Bacterial small subunit ribosomal RNA", at positions 368 to 760 of the family's 1533-position model. The record is from RNAcentral.